CCUACGGGAGGCAGCAGUAGGGAAUAUUGCUCAAUGGGGGAAACCCUGAAGCAGCAACGCCGCGUGGAGGAUGAAGGUUUUCGGAUUGUAAACGCCUGUUGUUAGAGAAGAGAAUGACGGUAGCUAACGAAUAAGCACCGGCUAACGCCGUGCCAGCAGCCGCGGUAAUACGGAGGGUACAAGCGUUACUCGGAAUCACUGGGCGUAAAGAGCGCGUAGGCGGGAUAGCAAGUCAGAUGUGAAAUCCUAUGGCUUAACCCUAGAACUGCAUUUGAAACGGUUAUUCUAGAGUCUGGGAGAGGUCGGUUGAAUUCUUGUUGUCGGGGUCAACUCCGU
RNAcentral lists this ribosomal RNA (336 nucleotides) under uncultured bacterium. Its description in RNAcentral is "partial 16S ribosomal RNA". It matches the Rfam family "Bacterial small subunit ribosomal RNA", at positions 338 to 691 of the family's 1533-position model. The record is from RNAcentral.